Mya arenaria is the source of this 1003-nucleotide long non-coding RNA. RefSeq lists it as uncharacterized. The record is from RefSeq and is a predicted model, not a curated record. Lineage: Eukaryota; Metazoa; Mollusca; Bivalvia; Myida; Myidae. The transcript has 3 exons.
GAUGAUAAAUAAAUCCCGUUAAAUAUGCACUGGUUUAUGCAUAUAAAUCAAAACAUGCUUUUAUGCAGAUGUUGGUGCAGCCUGUGGACAUUUAACAUACCAAGAACCUGCAAUACAAGGGAGCAAUGUUAAAAAAGUGUUCAGACCGGACACCUUCAAAAGAAACACUAAUGUUAGUGUGGAAUAUUAUAAACGGGAUGAUGAAAGUAAACGAUAUCGAACAUUCCCAUUUGCUAUUAACGAUACUCGUGAAGAUAGUUCGACUCUGAGUGAAGAAGUAACUGACACUGAAGUAGUGAAGCCUCGCAGUGUUAUGUCAAACACAGAAGGAGCAGUUACAAAAUCAAAGGAGAAAACAAAGGGCGCAUUGAUAUACGCAGACGUUGACAUUGAACUCUUGGAAGCGGCACGUAAAGCGAGGAAGGAACAAAUCCAAUCGGCGCCUACGGAGUAUGCGGACAUCCGGUUUGCAACGAUGUCACAAUCUAGGGGGCAGAAAAUUGUACAUGCAUAUUAUUAAUUUCGUUAUGCAAGAAGAGUUAAUUUUCACGCACUUGACAUCAAAAUCAGUCGACGAUGGUAAACCUAUAUACGUGUGUGGUUUCAUCGUUUGGACAGAAAUGUGAACAAAUAAUUUGUGUUAGGUGUUUUUGAUCAAAGGAACUGUCGCAGAAAAUGGCACCAAUAUGCAUUAUCCAUCAACAUUAUUAACACCCUUUCAUUCAAUAGUUUCAACUGAUUCCUUUUAUACAAAUGUUGAUUUUUGGUGACAAUUAUAUCAAUAGUCCAUUAAAAAUUAUCAGCACUGAUAAAAAAAUAAACCGGUAUCAAUUAAGCGAGAGCACAAACACUUAACGUUCUUUAAUAACCACAUGUUUUAAUUACUACAAACGACUGGUCAUACUUUUAUUUUAAGGAUAUGAAACAUUUUUAACAAAAGUUGCUAAAACAUUGCCAAUCUAUGGGAGAGUCCAUUGAAACGAAUUAUGUUAUAUUUUAUUAA